UACGGAGGGGGUUAGCGUUGUUCGGAAUUACUGGGCGUAAAGCGCGCGUAGGCGGAUAUUUAAGUCAGGGGUGAAAUCCCGGGGCUCAACCCCGGAACUGCCUUUGAUACUGGGUAUCUUGAGUCCGAGAGAGGUGAGUGGAAUUCCGAGUGUAGAGGUGAAAUUCGUAGAUAUUCGGAGGAACACCAGUGACGAAGGCGGCUCACUGGCCAGAUACUGACGCUGAGGUGCGAAAGUGUGGGGAGCAAACAGG
This 253-nucleotide unclassified non-coding RNA is filed under the name uncultured Rhodobacterales bacterium. RNAcentral describes it as "contains 16S-23S intergenic spacer region". It matches the Rfam family "Bacterial small subunit ribosomal RNA", at positions 524 to 776 of the family's 1533-position model. The record is from RNAcentral. Lineage: Bacteria; Pseudomonadati; Pseudomonadota; Alphaproteobacteria; Rhodobacterales.